GACGAACGCUGGCGGCGUGCUUAACACAUGCAAGUCGAACGGAAAGGCCCUGCUUUUGUGGGGUGCUCGAGUGGCGAACGGGUGAGUAACACGUGAGUAACCUGCCCUUGACUUUGGGAUAACUUCAGGAAACUGGGGCUAAUACCGGAUAGGAGCUCCUGCUGCAUGGUGGGGGUUGGAAAGUUUCGGUGGUUGGGGAUGGACUCGCGGCUUAUCAGCUUGUUGGUGGGGUAGUGGCUUACCAAGGCUUUGACGGGUAGCCGGCCUGAGAGGGUGACCGGCCACAUUGGGACUGAGAUACGGCCCAGACUCCUACGGGAGGCAGCAGUGGGGAAUAUUGCACAAUGGGCGGAAGCCUGAUGCAGCAACGCCGCGUGCGGGAUGACGGCCUUCGUGUUGUAAACCGCUUUCGCCUGUGACGAAGCGUGAGUGACGGUAAUGGGUAAAGAAGCACCGGCUAACUACGUG
RNAcentral lists this ribosomal RNA (468 nucleotides) under uncultured bacterium. RNAcentral's name for it is "partial 16S ribosomal RNA". It matches the Rfam family "Bacterial small subunit ribosomal RNA", at positions 28 to 507 of the family's 1533-position model. The record is from RNAcentral.